RNAcentral lists this ribosomal RNA (434 nucleotides) under uncultured bacterium. RNAcentral's name for it is "partial 16S ribosomal RNA". It matches the Rfam family "Bacterial small subunit ribosomal RNA", at positions 29 to 507 of the family's 1533-position model. The record is from RNAcentral.
AGCGAACGCUGGCGGCAGGCCUAACACAUGCAAGUCGAACGAACCUUUCGGGGUUAGUGGCGGACGGGUGUGUAACACGUGGGAACGUGCCUUUAGGUUCGGAAUACCUCAGGGAAACUUGUGCUAAUACCGAAUGUGCCCUUCGGGGGAAAGAUUUAUCGCCUUUAGAGCGGCCCGCGUCUGAUUAGCUAGUUGGUUGAGGUAAUGGCUCACCAAGGCGACGAUCAGUAGCUGGUCUGAGAGGAUGAUCAGCCACAUUGGGACUGAGACACGGCCCAAACUCCUACGGGAGGCAGCAGUGGGGAAUCUUGCGCAAUGGGCGAAAGCCUGACGCAGCCAUGCCGCGUGAAUGAUGAAGGUCUUAGGAUUGUAAAAUUCUUUCACCGGGGACGAUAAUGACGGUACCCGGAGAAGAAGCCCCGGCUAACUUCGUG